GAUGAACGCUGGCGGCGUGCCUAAUACAUGCAAGUCGAGCGAACAGACGAGGAGCUUGCUCCUCUGACGUUAGCGGCGGACGGGUGAGUAACACGUGGAUAACCUACCUAUAAGACUGGGAUAACUUCGGGAAACCGGAGCUAAUACCGGAUAAUAUAUUGAACCGCAUGGUUCAAUAGUGAAAUACGGUUUUGCUGUCACUUAUAGAUGGAUCCGCGCCGCAUUAGCUAGUUGGUAAGGUAACGGCUUACCAAGGCGACGAUGCGUAGCCGACGUGAGAGGGUGAUCGGCCACACUGGAACUGAGACACGGUCCAGACUCCUACGGGAGGCAGCAGUAGGGAAUCUUCCGCAAUGGGCGAAAGCCUGACGGAGCAACGCCGCGUGAGUGAUGAAGGUCUUCGGAUCGUAAAACUCUGUUAUUAGGGAAGAACAAAUGUGUAAGUAACUAUGCACGUCUUGACGGUACCUAAUCAGAAAGCCACGGCUAACUACGUG
This 497-nucleotide ribosomal RNA is filed under the name uncultured bacterium. RNAcentral describes it as "partial 16S ribosomal RNA". It matches the Rfam family "Bacterial small subunit ribosomal RNA", at positions 28 to 507 of the family's 1533-position model. The record is from RNAcentral.